Molecule: ribosomal RNA, 497 nt
Filed under: uncultured bacterium
Lineage: Bacteria
Description: partial 16S ribosomal RNA
Rfam family: Bacterial small subunit ribosomal RNA
Source: RNAcentral
GACGAACGCUGGCGGCGUGCCUAAUACAUGCAAGUUGAGCGCUGAAGGUUGGUACUUGUACCAACUGGAUGAGCAGCGAACGGGUGAGUAACGCGUGGGGAAUCUGCCUUUGAGCGGGGGACAACAUUUGGAAACGAAUGCUAAUACCGCAUAAAAACUUUAAACACAAGUUUUAAGUUUGAAAGAUGCAAUUGCAUCACUCAAAGAUGAUCCCGCGUUGUAUUAGCUAGUUGGUGAGGUAAAGGCUCACCAAGGCGAUGAUACAUAGCCGACCUGAGAGGGUGGUCCGCCACAUUGGGACUGAGACACGGCCCAAACCCCUACGGGAGGCAGCAGUAGGGAAUCUUCGGCAAUGGAGGAAAGGCUGACCGAGCAACGCCGCGUGAGUGAAGAAGGGUUUCGGAUCGUAAAAAUCUGUUGGUAGAGAAGAACGUUGGUGAGAGUGGAAAGCUCAUCAAGUGACGGUAACUACCCAGAAAGGGACGGCUAACUACGUG